GGAAAAAACAAGAAAAAAGAAAAACACAUACACGUGAAGUCUAUAAAUUUUGUAAUAUUUUUGAGAAUUAUAUUUUGAUUAUCUUCCCAGAUUAUAUUCAGAUUUUAAUAGAAGUCACUAAAAGUAAAGAAUUAACUUAUAACCAGUUUUGAGGCACUGUCUAUAAGCCCCUGAUUUAAAACCUUGGCUAUAAAGUUUUAAUAGGGUGCCUUAUGUUCAUUGAUAAUCUCAUACAUGAAAAUAAUGUAACUUAAAAACUUAAUUCUAAGUUGGGCAGUGGUGGUGCAUGCCUUUAAUGUCAGAGGCAGGUAGAUCUCUGAGUUACAGGCUAUCUUGGUCACAGAGCAAGUUCUAGGACAGCCAGAACUACACAGAGAAAGCCCGUCAGGGAGAGGGGGAGCCUUAACUCUAGUUGAGUGGUACCUCGAACAGAGGAGGCUAGUGAAGUAGGGUAGACACCAGCCUGUGCAGUAAAAGCCUUAUCUCAAAAAAUAAAAGAUCUCAACAUUGAAAGUGUGCCUUAUCCCAUUUAAUUCAAAAUACUUACAAAAUGAACUUAAGGGGCUGGAAAUGUGGCUCACUAUGGGCUGUAAAUCCUUUUUCAGGGGAUCUAAUUCCUUUGACCUCUGGACACCAGGCAUACAAUGCACAUAAAAACUCCAUGGUGGUAACACCUUUCGGUGGAUAUCUGAGUUUGAGACCAGCCUGGUCUUCAGAGCAAGUUCCAUGACAGCUAAGGUUACCUAGCAAAUCCCUGUCUAUAAAAAAAUUUGCAUUUAAGAAGUCUUCCUUUUAUGGUGAAACCUUACUGUUAGAAUAAUCCAUUUGUUUCUUACAGCUCCGAUGCAGGUGUAUUGAAAAUGUGGGCCUGGCUGUGUCUGGUGCAUCUGGUGAGAGCCUUUUGACACAAGUGAAUAGAAGAGCAGUGUUGGAGAAUAGUAAACUCACGGAGCUCCAUGGAAGCAGUACAUGGGAUUACUCUGCUCAGUAAAUAGGCACUGGAGAGGUAGUUUCUGAUGUAAGAAUAUCAGCUUCAUAAGGUUAUAAUCUCAACAGAAAACAGAGUGACAUAGUCUAUAUAUAUAUAUAUAUAUAUGUAUAUAUAUAUAUAGCUAUCAUUUAAAUCGCUUGCUAUAGGAAUUACCAGUUUUGAAACUUAAGCACACGUCCAGGCUGUCCAGGUAACUCAGAAGGUAAACCUGACUUGUUUGACCCCAAGAACGCACUUUACAAGAAAAACCUCUGGAAAGUUGUUCUUUGAACUUAAACCUGCCAGCCUGAACUCACAUACUAUUAUAAAGUAUAUUAUAAAGUAGCACAAUAAAAACCUUAAGAACUGGUGCUUGACAGUAUCGUUUAACAAGGAGAGGAGCUGCAAAUAUAACAGGUUUGUUCAACCUUAGUCCACUAUACAGGAACUGCUACUUGGAUCAAGAAAAACAUUUUUUGAGAAUUUAAGUUUUCUGCACCUAUCCCAAAGAGGUGCAACAAUCAUUGUCAUACAGACCUGGUGACAAAAGUUGUUUAAAGCACACCAUCUGGGCAUUAUUUCAUAAACAUACCAGGACUUGAAAGCUUGAGUUAAGAGCUGGCUUGGGCAUUCCAAGAUCAUAUCUCAGAAAACACCCUGGUUGCUGGGAUUAAAGUGUGAUCGAUCAACUCCACUCUCCAAGAAAAAUAAUACCAAGAUUUUUGGAGUUUGUGUUCAUAGCUCACAAUUCAACAGUUCUUAAUCCUUAUAAUACACAGAGAGAUAUUUUCACAUGCUUGUCCAGAAUGAAAAGCAAUUUAGACAAAAACAUUCUUUAGACAAAUACAGUAGUAAAAGUGAAGAAUGAUUCCCAUGCCCCUCUGCUCCACAUAGGAAGCCUUAGACCAGAAUCUGACCCUAUCAGUACUGUACUACUUAACUAUGAGUGGUCCUUAGUAACAGAGUUACUGAUCUCUGAUUCCUAGUGCCAACCUGUGGUGGUGCCUGGACACAUUACAAUACACACAUAGACCACUGCUAGUCUAACUUCCAAGAACUGAAUAUUGUUGGUCCUAAGCAUAUAGGAUGAAGGGCUUUCUAUGGUUAUCUCCCUUCCAGGACAGUUAAUCUGCCUGGAUUAUAUAGUACUCUAAGUAUGGUAGAUAUAUCACAGUUUUAGAAGAAUAAUUGCUUUUUAAGGCAGUUUUACCUUGUAGACCAGGUUGGCCCCAAACUUGUCAGCCCACCUCCCUUUACCUCCUGAGUGCUAGUAUUUAUUCUUAAAGGGUUUAUUUUUUAUGGGUGGUAGGAAUAGGUUAGUGCUGAUGUCAGAGGUGCCAGAUCUCCCUGUAACUAGUUAAAAGUAACUAUGAGGGUCCCAACAACUAAGUUGAGUACCCAACUCCAGCCCAAUAAUAGGACAGCAUUCACUGUUAACCACUGGGCAUCUCUAAUUCCUUCAAAGCUACAUCCAUUCAGUCCUAUUUCUGUACACUCACCAACCACCACCCAGUCUUGAGACAAGGCUCAAGUUGCCCAGAUUAGCCUAUAAUUUAGAACACUUGUUGCCUUCCAAAGGCUGAAGUUGGAGGCUUCUAUAGCCAGUUGAUCCAGUUUUAAUGUUUUAAGCAUAUGUUUUUAAGUCCCAGUAUUGGGGAGACUGAGGUGGGAGGAUCUUGAGUUCAAGGCCAGCCUGGGCUACAAAGACUCAACCACUUUGUUUUGUUGUUUUCAAGGCAGGAUUUUUCUCUGUAACCCUGGCUGUCCUUAGAAUUUGCUCUAUAAACCAUACUGACCUUGAGUUCCGGCCUGCCUCUGCCCACUGAGUGCUGUGAAUAAAGGUGUGCAUGGCCA
Mastomys coucha (southern multimammate mouse) is the source of this 2824-nucleotide long non-coding RNA. RefSeq lists it as uncharacterized. The record is from RefSeq and is a predicted model, not a curated record. Lineage: Eukaryota; Metazoa; Chordata; Mammalia; Rodentia; Muridae. The transcript is spliced from 2 exons.